This 1173-nucleotide long non-coding RNA is filed under the name Canis lupus familiaris (dog). RNAcentral describes it as "lncRNA (ENSCAFG00030017116.1)". The record is from RNAcentral. Lineage: Eukaryota; Metazoa; Chordata; Mammalia; Carnivora; Canidae.
AUGGGGCGGGAGAAACAGCAGCCGCCAGGCGCCGCGGCAGGUGAACUUGUCCACAAGUCAGCCCCGGACACACACCAGUCCCUGCCCAGAAGGGGCCCCGGGGCCCCGGGGCCGGCCGGGAGCGGCUGGGAGGGCGAGGCGAGGCGCGGCUGGGGCUGCCGCGGGCGGGCGCGGGCGCGGGGGCUGGAGCUGCGGCCGGCGCCGAACGCCCCCCGCUCCCCCGGGCCGCCGCGCUCCCAGGGCGCGCGCAUCCUCCAGACCUGCCCAGGCCCGCGGGGGGCGGCGGGGGAGGGGAAGGGACCCGCCUGUCCCCCGGCGGCCUCAGGCCGGCGCCCCGACCGCCCGGCGUCUCCCGCUGCAGCCUGCAGCCCGCCCGGCGCGCCCCCGCCCCGGCCCCCGGAGGGCAGGUACCUCGGAGCCCCGGCCCCCAGGAGCCUCCCGGCCGCGGUCGGAGCGUCCCUCCGGCUCCCUCCUCCGACGUCAGCGUCAGCAGAAGGCGAGGGAAGGGGCGGGGGAGCGCAGGCACCGGCCCUUCCUGCGGCGCCCGCCGCCCGCCGGAAUAGGAGCCCGCGGAGCCCGUGCGCGCCGCAGCGCAGCGCCGCGGCCGGGGGGAGCGGGCGGCCUCGCCUCCCCGCAGACGCCGCCCCCCACCCCCCGCAUCCUCGGAGACGCCCGGGGCGGGGACCCCUCCCGCAGGACCCCGGCUCCCGGAGGAGCGAGGGCGCGAAGGCCUCACCUUUGGGGGGGCAGGUCUGGGAUGGGGGGAGGGAGCCUCGCUCUGUCUGUCCUCCCUGGGGACUCUCCUCGGCCCCCAUCUCCUGGGGCAGCCCCCGCUCCGACCCGCCGCCCAGGGUGACCCCGCCCCUGCUCUCCCGCAGGUGUUCCACGUGGCCAGAGCGCGUGCGUCACAAUGACCUGGCCGACAGGUGGGAGCCGCGGCGAACGCCCCACGGGUCCCUCCGUGCUGAGUGCGGAGCGCUGAGCGUCCUGCUUGCCUGCACGUUAGGAUUUGUGCGGCUUCAGGAGACUGGAGACUUCAUGACUUCAAUGCUGAGAAAAGUUACAGGGGCCUGUCAUCUGGAAGUCAACUUUGAACUUCAAGGAGAAAGGAUGUGUGGGGAAAACACAACUCUGUGUGUGUGUUUUAUUCCCAUACAAUCAUAUAUCUUUUAA